UGGAGAUAAUACCUGAUAGAGGAUAAAUACUGGAAGGUUUUAUUCUUCAAAGCUUCGGCACCUGAGGAUGGGACUGCGUCGGAUUAGCUUGUUGUCGGGAUAAUUACCCGACAAGGCGAUAAUCCGUACGGGUUGUGAGAGCAAUAGCCCGGAGAUGGAUUCUGAGACAUGAAUCCAGGUCCUACGGGACGCAGCAGGCGCGAAACCUUCACAAUGCCUGAAAGGGUGAUGAGGGAACUCUGAGUGACUUCGCAAUGCGAAGUCUUUUGCCAAGUGCAAAAAGCUCGGUGAAUAAGUGGUGGGCAAGACAGUUGCCAGCCGCCGCGGUAAUAACUGCGCCACGAGUGGUGAUCUCGUUUAUUGGGCUUAAAGCGUUCGUAGCCGGUUUUAUAAGCAUCUGGUGAAAUCCGAUAGUAAACUAUUGGGCUGGCUAGGUGUACUGUAAGACUAGGGACCGGUAGGGGCCGGGAGUACUCCUAGGGUAGGGGUUAAAUCCUUUAAUCCUAGGGGGACUACCAGUGGCGAAGGCGCCCGGCUAGAACGGGUCCGACGGUGAGGGACGAAAGCUGGGGGAGCGAUCCGGAUUAGAUACCCGGGUAGUCCCAGCUGUAAACGAUGCCCGCUUGGUGUGGUGAAACUUUCGUGGUUUUGCCGUACCGUAGCGAAAGUGUU
RNAcentral lists this ribosomal RNA (672 nucleotides) under uncultured archaeon. Its description in RNAcentral is "bacterial SSU rRNA". It matches the Rfam family "Archaeal small subunit ribosomal RNA", at positions 141 to 816 of the family's 1478-position model. The record is from RNAcentral.